GAUUUCUGGCUUGAAACAUUUGGCCGGCCACGGUUUCGUGUGUUAGUGCUUUGUGUUCUGGCCAUCCUUCCAAUCGCGGCGUACGCUUCUUCAUUGAUGGGUGCGUCGUAUUGGAUCUUUUACUUUGAAAAAAUUAGAGUGUUUCAAGCAGGCUUUAUGCUAUGAAUACAUUAGCAUGGAAUAAUAAUUUAGGACUUCGGUUCUAUUUUGUUGGUUUCUAGGACUGAAGUAAUGAUUGAUAGGGAUAGUUGGGGGUGCUAGUAUUCAGCGGCCAGAGGUGAAAUUCUCGGAUUCGCUGAAGACUAACUUAUGCGAAAGCAUU
RNAcentral lists this ribosomal RNA (322 nucleotides) under Sandonidae sp. Its description in RNAcentral is "SSU rRNA". The stretch from base 112 to 322 matches the Rfam family "Eukaryotic small subunit ribosomal RNA", at positions 744 to 955 of the family's 1831-position model. The record is from RNAcentral. RNAcentral also lists the same sequence under 1 other name. Lineage: Eukaryota; Cercozoa; Glissomonadida; Sandonidae.